UACAGAGGUCUCAAGCGUUGUUCGGAUUCAUUGGGCGUAAAGGGUGCGUAGGCGGCGCGGUAAGUCGGGUGUGAAAUCUUGGAGCUUAACUCCGAAACUGCAUUCGAUACUGCCGUGCUUGAGGACUGGAGAGGAGACUGGAAUUUACGGUGUAGCGGUGAAAUGCGUAGAUAUCGGAAGGAAGACCAGUGGCGAAGGCGGGUCUCUGGACAGUUCCUGACGCUGAAGCACGAAGGCGAGGGGAGCAAACGGG
RNAcentral lists this ribosomal RNA (253 nucleotides) under uncultured bacterium. Its description in RNAcentral is "partial 16S ribosomal RNA". It matches the Rfam family "Bacterial small subunit ribosomal RNA", at positions 524 to 776 of the family's 1533-position model. The record is from RNAcentral.